RNAcentral lists this ribosomal RNA (468 nucleotides) under uncultured bacterium. RNAcentral's name for it is "partial 16S ribosomal RNA". It matches the Rfam family "Bacterial small subunit ribosomal RNA", at positions 28 to 507 of the family's 1533-position model. The record is from RNAcentral.
GACGAACGCUGGCGGCGUGCUUAACACAUGCAAGUCGAACGGAAAGGCCCUGCUUUUGUGGGGUGCUCGAGUGGCGAACGGGUGAGUAACACGUGAGUAACCUGCCCUUGACUUUGGGAUAACUUCAGGAAACUGGGGCUAAUACCGGAUAGGAGCUCCUGCUGCAUGGUGGGGGUUGGAAAGUUUCGGCGGUUGGGGAUGGACUCGCGGCUUAUCAGCUUGUUGGUGGGGUAGUGGCUUACCAAGGCUUUGACGGGUAGCCGGCCUGAGAGGGUGACCGGCCACAUUGGGACUGAGAUACGGCCCAGACUCCUACGGGAGGCAGCAGGGGGGAAUAUUGCACAAUGGGCGGAAGCCUGAGGCAGCAACGCCGCGUGCGGGAUGACGGCCUUCGGGUGGUAAACCGCUUUCGCCUGUGACGAAGCGUGAGUGACGGUAAUGGGUAAAGAAGCACCGGCUAACUACGUG